UAUUAUUAAAAUUUAAAUUGAAAAUACUAAAAUAGUAGGUAAUUAUUUAUUGAAACUUAAAUAAUUUGGCGGUAUUUUAGUUCAUUUAGAGGAAUCUGUUUAUUAAUUGAUAAUCCACGAAUAAAUUUACUUAAUUUUUUUAUUUUGUAUAUCGUUGUUAAAAAAAUAUUUUUUAAUAAUAAUAAUAUUUAAAAAUUUAAAUUGAAAAUUAAAUCAGAUCAAGAUGCAGAUUAUAAUUAAGAAUAUAAUGGAUUACAAUAAAUUUAUUUAAAUGGAUAUUAAUUUGUAAAAAUUAAUUAAAGGUGGAUUUAAAUGUAAUUUUAUUUAGUUUAAUAAAAUGAUUGAAAAUUGAAAUAUGUACAUAUUGCCCGUCGCUUUCAUAUAUUAAAAAUUGGA
This 396-nucleotide ribosomal RNA is filed under the name Knorella gigantochloae. Its description in RNAcentral is "partial small subunit ribosomal RNA". Lineage: Eukaryota; Metazoa; Arthropoda; Arachnida; Trombidiformes; Eriophyidae. The record is from RNAcentral. RNAcentral also lists the same sequence under 1 other name.